CUAAUUUUCGAAUCGGUCAAUAAAACCUGGCGAUAAUGGUAACAUCGAUUUUACUAAAUCACAAGCUUAAAGCCUGAUUAAAAUAAUGUAAUAACAUCGUGUAUAGUUUAUCAAACAUCGAGUAAACUUAUUUAAACGAGUAAUAAACCGACAGCAAUAAUAAUUAACCGAUAAGUGUUUUAAUAUAUUGAUUUCAUUCAGUCAACACUGUCGCGAAUUUAGACAAAAAAUGUUUGGCAAAUACAACAGCAACGAGAACGUGCUCAACAACAGCAUCUUUACUCUAAGACAAAGGCGACUAUAAUUUGCAUCCUUGAGCAUUCUAGUACGCCGUACUUGUUCAAACUGCUACGUUAUGUACAUCAUUUUCAUGGCCGUCACGACUACGCCAACACAGUAAAACGUUCAAGUCGUUUGCGGUGUUUUAUGUAAAUUCACUUACUAUCGCCACUUCAGAGAAUUUCAGG
This is a non-coding RNA of Paramuricea clavata, 467 nucleotides long. The record is from the annotation of a GenBank genome assembly. Lineage: Eukaryota; Metazoa; Cnidaria; Anthozoa; Malacalcyonacea; Plexauridae.